AUGGGAAGUGAGGUCUAGGCUCUCUUCUCGCCUCUGCCGCCCAGGUUAGGAGGACCAAGAUGGAGGGACGCGUGAAAUGGCAAGUGUAGGUCUUUUCAGGGACCAGGACGUCGCAUGUUUACACUUCUACCCCCACGACUCAGCCCAGAUGACUGGAAAAUGUCCGUUACCAUAUCCUUUUUUCUCGGAACUUAGCUGUUGCCCAGGACACAGAGGGCCAGACAGAGAAGGAACUCUGCUACUCGAGGGGAGGAAAUCUGACCUUGUGCAACACUCCUGCAGAGGAGAGGGAAUGAAUAUACACUCUCCGUGUGGGCGGCAGAGUGAUGGAGCGUGGGCUUUGCGUUCAGAGAGGCAUGGAUUCCUAUCCCGGUUCCUCCACUGCGCACUGCUUCCGUUUACAGAUGGGUAUAUAGGAUACACUAGUGUCUACGGGAAAAAAAGCCGAACUCUGUAAAAUAACUUUAAGGAGAUUUACUCUGAGCCAAAUUUGAGGACCAUGACCCGGAGCCACGCCCAAGAAGCCUUGAAGACCAGCUCUGCUGCCACCAUACCGAGAAAAACUAAGUCAUAAUGUUGACCAGGAAAAUCAACAGAACACUUGGAUUCCUCCCUCAUCUUCUAGAUGUGCAGGCUGAAAAAUUUAUGGAUGAAAUUAUCUGUGGAUACAACAAGAUGGCCAUUUGCAAACCAGGAGGAGAGCCCUCACCAGAUAUCGGAUCUGCCAGCACUUUGAUCUUGGACUUUCCAGCCCCCAGAACUGUGAGAAAUAAA
This is a long non-coding RNA of Lemur catta (Ring-tailed lemur), 774 nucleotides long. RefSeq lists it as uncharacterized. The record is from RefSeq and is a predicted model, not a curated record. The transcript has 5 exons. NCBI's taxonomy places the organism in Eukaryota, Metazoa, Chordata, Mammalia, Primates, Lemuridae.